CCCCGACAGGAUCAUACAGGUUCUCUCUUCCUGAUUCUACUCAAACAGAUGGGGGCAUACUGGGCCUGAGCAGAAGAAGAAGUUAUCUAAGGGCCCACGCGUGCGGCAUGAUGAGAUAUCCCUGAUUAAGAAAUGUAGCCUGGCUGUAAUGCCUCCUGGAAGACUAAGUCAAUCGAAACGUUGGUUUUAGUUUACAGUUGUUGCAGAUGCAAAGACCGCAUGUACUCUGGCUCCUGUAGAAACUCCAGGAACAUUAAGUAAGACCAAAGUCUCACACCUUAAAUGCAGCAACGCUUGCAGUUUCAGACUCUCAGUGAAGUGUCUGCGUCCUGAGCAGUGACCCAGCACCUACACACCCCUCUGCAGCGAUGUCCACCCACAGUUGAGGGGUUCAUGUAGCACAGCUGUGCUACAAGCUUCUUCUGCAAGCUUCAGAGCAAACCUAAGUGUUUAGGGGCCUACAGGACCAAGACUCAUUCCACAGAAACUGAGAAGGUGUGGGUGCAAGGUACUGAGUCAUUUACAAAAGGUUUAUUUUGCAUGCAAGAUGAGAACCAGAAUGCGAAAACAGAAUUGGAAACUGUCACACAAGAGAAAGAAGACAAUUUGUGUCUAGGUGAUGUAUUUCUUGCUCCUAAUGGCCAUUGCCAUAGUGAGGGCGGUGGAUUCCUGACAGGGAGAAAAAAGGAAAAGAUUGCAGAGCUGUGGGAUAGCUGCACCUACCCAGAAUGGAGCAGAAGAGGGGUGGGGUGAGCACGAAGCUUGGUGCGCACAAGAAUGUGGUCCACUCUCCAAACAUGUGCAGGCAGCUCCCCAAGCGCAAUGCAGGCCCCACCACCGUGCGUUUCCUUGUACGAUAGACACCAAACGUCAACCACGCCUACUUAUGAGUAUGAAGUGUUUUCGCCUGGGCACGGUGGCUCACGCCUGUAAUCCCAGCACUUUGGGAGGCCGAGGCGGGUGGAUCACGAGCUCAGGAGAUCGAGACCAUGGUGAAACCCCGUCUCUACUAAAAAUACAAAAAAUUAGCCGGGCGUGGUGGCGGGCGCCUGUAGUCCCAGCUACUCGGGAGGCUGAGGCAGGAGAAUGGCGUGAACCUGGAAGGCGGAGCUUGAAGUGAGCUGAGAUCGCGCCACUGCACUCCAGCCUGGGCGACAGAGCGAGACUCCGUCUCAAAAAUAAAUAAAUAAAUAAAUAAAAAAUAAAGUAAAAUAAAAUGUUUUCAUGUUUCUUAGGAAUUAGAUUCAUUUGAGAGUCAUUAUUUUAAGGUGAACCUGUCCAUUUGGGCAGCUGAUUUUUAAUCAACAUUUGUAUGGUUGUAUUCAUGGAUAUACACCGAAGGAAAAGGGCAUUGUCACUGAUCAUUUACAUAGAUCUACUGUUUUUUUAUUAUCAGCCCAUUGGGACAAUCUAAAAUGUUGGCCAAUUCCC
This 1431-nucleotide long non-coding RNA is filed under the name Homo sapiens (human). RNAcentral's name for it is "HSALNT0324762". Lineage: Eukaryota; Metazoa; Chordata; Mammalia; Primates; Hominidae. The record is from RNAcentral.